Molecule: long non-coding RNA, 491 nt
Filed under: Helianthus annuus (common sunflower)
Lineage: Eukaryota; Viridiplantae; Streptophyta; Magnoliopsida; Asterales; Asteraceae
Source: RNAcentral
AUGUAUCAUUAAGCUAUACAUCAAGGGAGACGGUACAUGAAUUAAAAGAUGUAAGUAAACAUUACUUUGAAUCCUUAUGAAGUAGUUGCACUUGUAAGUUAUUGGUCGUGGGCAAAGCGCAAUUGUGAAUCUUCUACGUCGUCUAUAUAUGAACCAACAAGUGGCUAGGUUGGAAGGCAUUUUCAACCAAACCAUGGGUUUGGACCAAAAAUGGCAGAUUCAUGGGUUAAGAUAUUAUUCAGGAUUUUAGGUGCUAAACGAGAAGAUUCAAGUGCCAACAGUUAUACAAAAGAAUUAUGAUGGAGUAAUGAACCAUGAAAUUAAGGUCUUUCAACUAGACUGACUAUUUGGCCCGAUUAUCAUGAUGGUAUGACCGUGUGAUGUUUUAUCUCUAGCGAGUAUAAAAGUGUAAAGUCGAAAACUUGCCUCCAACCUUGCUUUGUCAGGGUUCUUUGGCAUAAAUUACAUGUUAAUAUGAAUUCUUUAGUGAA